Molecule: non-coding RNA, 74 nt
Organism: Cooperia oncophora
Lineage: Eukaryota; Metazoa; Nematoda; Chromadorea; Rhabditida; Trichostrongylidae
Source: the annotation of a GenBank genome assembly
UGCAUCGGCCGGGAAUCGAACCCGGGCCGCCCGCGUGGCAAGGCGAGCAUUCUAUCACUGUGACCCACCGAUGC